Long non-coding RNA from Olea europaea var. sylvestris, 453 nucleotides. RefSeq lists it as uncharacterized. The transcript has 2 exons. The record is from RefSeq and is a predicted model, not a curated record. NCBI's taxonomy places the organism in Eukaryota, Viridiplantae, Streptophyta, Magnoliopsida, Lamiales, Oleaceae.
ACUCAUCCGUAGUACUCAAAAUGUUAAAUUCGAUUAGAUUCAGACUAGACUAGUAGCGAUCAUUUUGGUCCCUUGAUAAGUUAUUAGUUCUAUAGGGAUGAUAUAAUCGCUUUUAAAUUUACUCAAAAGAUGAUGAUCGAAUGCCAUAAAAUGUUUAACCUGCCUCAGUGGGCACCAACUGCUUUAAAAUGAGAUGUUGAAUUUCACGGAUUAUGGGUUCGUGUCACGGGAGCUUCAUUUAGAGGAGAAUUAUAGGGGAGUAACAAGGUCACCCUUAAGUUCAUGUGUUGUGUCACUCAAAUGAUGGUGAUCAAAUGUCAGAAUUAGAUUUGGUCUUCCACUUCCAGUUUCAGACACUGCAAAGUCUUCAUGGAGCAAAUCAUUGAAGAACAGGCAAGUUCUAUGCCAAACUCACCAGAUCAAAACAGCAGACCAACCAGUCUGGUGAUCAAG